GAUGAACGCUAGCUACAGGCUUAACACAUGCAAGUCGAGGGGAAACGACAUCGAAAGCUUGCUUUUGGUGGGCGUCGACCGGCGCACGGGUGAGUAACGCGUAUCCAACCUGCCCACCACUUGGGGAUAACCUUGCGAAAGUAAGACUAAUACCCAAUGAUAUCCCACGAAGGCAUCCGAAUGGGAUUAAAGAUUUAUCGGUGAUGGAUGGGGAUGCGUCUGAUUAGCUUGUUGGCGGGGUAACGGCCCACCAAGGCGACGAUCGGUAGCCGGACUGAGAGGUUGAACGGCCACAUUGGGACUGAGACACGGCCCAGACUCCUACGGGAGGCAGCAGUGGGGAAUAUUGCACAAUGGGGGAAACCCUGAUGCAGCGACGCCGCGUGGAGGAAGAAGGUCUUCGGAUUGUAAACUCCUGUUGUUGAGGAAGAUAAUGACGGUACUCAACAAGGAAGUGACGGCUAACUACGUG
This 472-nucleotide ribosomal RNA is filed under the name uncultured bacterium. RNAcentral's name for it is "bacterial SSU rRNA". It matches the Rfam family "Bacterial small subunit ribosomal RNA", at positions 28 to 507 of the family's 1533-position model. The record is from RNAcentral.